This 425-nucleotide ribosomal RNA is filed under the name Carapoia zumbii. Its description in RNAcentral is "partial 16S ribosomal RNA". It matches the Rfam family "Bacterial large subunit ribosomal RNA", at positions 1830 to 2597 of the family's 2925-position model. Lineage: Eukaryota; Metazoa; Arthropoda; Arachnida; Araneae; Pholcidae. The record is from RNAcentral.
UUUUUAAGAAAUUUUUUAAAGUAAUACCUGCUCAAUGUUAAAUAAAUAGCCGCAGUAUACUGUGCUAAGGUAGCAUAAUCAUUAGCUUUUUAAUUAAAAGAUAGAAUGAAAGGUAAUAUGAGAUGGUAUUUUUUUAUAAAAAACAAAAUAAACUUAAAAAAGAAGUAAAAAUUCUUCUAACUUUAGAAAGACGAUAAGACCCUGACAAACUUAUCAUUUAGCUGGGGCGGCUAAAACAAAAAACCUUUUCACUUUUAACAAUAUUAAUCUAUUAUUAAUAAUAUAAAAGUUACUGCAGGGAUAACAGCGCAAUUUUUUUCUAAAGUUCAAAUUUAAAAAAAAGUUUACGACCUCGAUGUUGAAUUAAUUUUCCUUUGUUAAGAGCAAAUUCUUCGAAAGAUAGUCUGUUCGACUAUUAAAUAAUU